This 728-nucleotide ribosomal RNA is filed under the name Physconia distorta. RNAcentral's name for it is "SSU rRNA". It matches the Rfam family "Bacterial small subunit ribosomal RNA", at positions 357 to 1151 of the family's 1533-position model. The record is from RNAcentral. Lineage: Eukaryota; Fungi; Ascomycota; Lecanoromycetes; Caliciales; Physciaceae.
AGGAAUGUAUAGCGAAAGCUAGUUGCAUUUAACUUAGCGAAAGCUAAGUUGAUGCAGGAUUGACUAUGUCAAAUAAAGUUCUAGGUGGGUUAUGAUGAUGACAUUUCCUAUCUAUGUGUCUUGACCAAAUUACGUGCCAGCAGUCGCGGUAACACGUAAAAGACUAGUGUUAUUCAUCUUUAAUAGGUUUAAAGGGUACCUAGACGGUAAAUCAAGUCCAAGAAGGGUACUAAUUUUACUAGAGUUUAAUAUGAGGGGGCACUAAAGUACUGAUAAGUGUAGAGAUGAAAUUCUGUGAUACAAUAUACGGCACUGGUAAAGGCGAAAGCAUCUCAUUAUGUAAUAACUGACGUUGAGGGACGAAGGCUAGGUGUAGCAAAAAGGAUUAGAUACCCAAGUAGUCUUAGCAGAAAAUUAUGAAUGUCAUAGGAUGGAAAGUUGGAUGGACAAACAACAAAUUUUUUUUUCUAUAAAUGAAAGUGUAAGCAUUCCACCUCGAGAGUAAUUUGGCAACAUUGGAACUGAAAUCAUUAGACCGUUUCUGAAACAAGUAGUGAAGUAUGUUGUUUAAUUUGAUGGUCCGCAAAAAACCUUACCACAAUUUGAAUAGAAAAAUUUUUUUCAUACAAGCGCUGCACGGUUGUCUUCAGUUAAUGUCGUGAGAUCUUGGUUAGUUCCAUUAAAUUAACGUAAACCCUUACUCUAUUUUUAUAUAGAGUAGUUCACCG